Cavia porcellus (domestic guinea pig) is the source of this 2648-nucleotide long non-coding RNA. RefSeq lists it as uncharacterized. Lineage: Eukaryota; Metazoa; Chordata; Mammalia; Rodentia; Caviidae. The record is from RefSeq and is a predicted model, not a curated record. The transcript has 2 exons.
GGGAAUUUGUUCAUGCACACUGUUAGGGAUUAAAAACUGGUAGUUAACACCAGUGGAAUUAAAUCAGCAUGGUGCCGAGUGUAGAUGUUCCACCUGAGGAAAGUUACCAGCAUAAAUAGAGACAUGGUGAAGAGCAGCUAGGCAUUGUGAGUUCUCCUAAGUGUUGCUGUUUUGGGCUGCUGAUUCUCCUGGGGGAGCUCAUCACGGCUUGCUUUCCCAGUAUGAGUUUGGCCAUUAUCAUCAGAGGAGCUCGGGACCUUGUUGAGUUCAUCACCAGCUCAACUUCAGUGAACCAUCCCGGAAGAUUUCCCGAAGCAUCCUUCCCUACAAACAAUAGACCAAGCCUGGUGAUGCUCAGUAUUUCCUUAGGCCCUGAACACUGACAAGAGAAAAAGGAACAGCCCUCAAGGGAAUUUUGAAGUGUCCUUGAAGAGUGUGAAAUUAAUAUUGGUAUCUCCAGGCUUUUUAAGGUUGUCUUCUGAUAUAUGAAAAAUGCCUGCGUGGAUUAAAAAUCCAUCAUCCAAUGGAUACUAAUGGGAGCAGGACCUGGGAAGGUAAAGCACCUCAGACAGACAGUGUAGCACACCCAAGCCUUCCCAGCAGAACGCUAAGGCACCUUAGACCCGCAGCAAAUAAACUUCAGCAGGACACUUACACAAAGACACACCCACCCAUUAUCUCCGCUCCCUACAGAGACAAGGAAUGGCUCUGGGGUCUCUUUUUGAGCCUGAGGGUUGUAUUUAUCCUGAAGUGAUCCUACCCUUCUUCAGCACUGCUUCAUCUGAGGAUAGCAAACAUGUUAUUUCUGGCUUUAGGAGUCGCACUGUCACUUACAUCCAUUAUGGAGAAGAUUAGCUGCUUUUUUAAAACUCUAGAGAAAAGAUGGGCAUGAUACAAACCUUGAGCGCUGGAAAGUGCCACCUGGAGACAAGAAGCACAUUAAAGUCCAAUUCCUAAGGGAAAGGGGGUAAAAUUGGAAUCUUUAUUGCUCUUGAACAAUGGUGUUCAAAUACAGGGCACUGACAUACUUUUUAAUUUUUAUUAUUGAAUAUCAUGAAUUCUUAGUCUUGCUUAUAUAAACCUAGAUAUAAGAGUAAAGUUAAACCAAUCUAGACUAUUUGCAUAUAAGUCUUCAAAUGUCCUGUUGCUUCAAAGUUUUCCUGUCAAUUGCUUUAACUCCUACCCCAAUUUGAGUCCUAAUGUAUAAUUCUGAGAAUAACAAACUGGCUAACUUGCUUGUCUAUUGUUGGGAAAUGAGCUUUGUAUCUGAUUGAUGAUUAGACAGUUCUAGAGUACCUAUCUUGACAGACGAACUCUAGAAUAUAGCAGUUCUAUUAUGGCCUAAUUUCUAUAUCAUAUCAUUUACCCUUAUAAAUUCUAUAAAUUCAGUGUAUCUCGGGACAUUCACAGAUAUUUGCAAAGAUCACAAUGGUCAAUGUAAAAUAAUUUAAUUAUUUUAAAAAGAAGCCCCUUCCCUGUCAUCUGUCAUCUCUGCCUCUCUUGUGGUUUAGACUGAGAGUGGCCCCCAAAAGAUUCAAGUGUUCAGUUUCAGAAGAUGACUGGAUCGUGGGGGUGCUAUGCUCAGACAAAAAUGCUGUUAGGAAGUGAGACCUGGUCAGAAGAGGAGGAGGAGGAGAUUCACUGGGAGGUUUAACCUAGAAGAGCAUAUAUCUCACCAACUCACUGUCUAUCUACCUAUGAUCUAUUAUCUGUUUGUAUCUACUCUCUGUCUCUAUUAUCUCUCCAUUAUCUAUUAUCCAUCCAUCUACCUAAUCCUUCUCAGGAUAUUCCCCUCACUUCACUCAGUUUUGCAUCACUUUUGCCACUUUCUGAAGCAGUUCUGAAAGUUCUCUUUCACACAGUCUUUGAUAGAUAUCCAAACUCUGGUGAACCUUGCUGUUGACUGGCAUGUAAAGAAAAGGAAGCUCAUUCAAAGCAGCCAGGAUGUCCUGCCCCUUUACACCGGACCCAGCAUCAUGUGACUUCCGGUUCUUCCCCGCAGUCAGAGUGACCAUGAAAAUGAAGCAACUUGAAGAUUUGAAUAUGGAUAUUGAGGCAGCCUCCACGACAAACUAAAGAUACUCAUGGAAGAGGACUUGCAGCAAUGAUGGGGGACGCAUUUAGGGAAAUUAACACUGAUGUGUCUUUUACAUUGUGAAAUUUACAUCUUCCCUCUGUUUUUGAUCAUGCUAUUUAUGCAUGGAAUAUGUGUCUAUUCAUGCGCACAUUUGGGGUAGACAUACGUUUUCAUUUCUCCUGAUUAUGUACCUAGUGGCAGCACGGUUAGGUCUUGUUAGUCUACCAAUGUUUCACGCUUGAGCAGAUUCCUGUCUUUUUCCCAGUAAUUUUUCCACCACUUUUUUUCUUGGUCCAUGGAAUAUGAGGGCUAUUUUUCCUUGUCUUCACCUUACUUAUUUUUGUUCCCAACAUCUUCAAGGUUAUGAAGCAAUAUUUAGUUAUUUUAAUCUGUAUCUUCCCAAUGACUAAUGAUAUUGAACAUAUUUGUAUGGGUGUAUCAGUCAGCUGUAUAACUUCUUUGAAGAAAUGUUCGCUCAGGUGAUGUGUUUUUAUUAUUGAGUCCUGAGUUCUUUGUACCUUCCUUACACUAAUUCUUUAUUGGCUAUAUUAUUUCCAAGUAUUUUGUUCCA